GGAGAGGCAGCGGGUGGUGGUGGUGGUGGAGGACGCCCCGGCGUCGCGCGCGGCGCUGCAGUGGGCCGUGCGCAACUUCAUCCGGGCCGGCGACUCCAUCGCGCUGCUCCACGUGUGCGCGCCGGCCCGCUCCAAGCGCCGGCGCCGGCGCCUCCGCCUGCGGGGCUUCCAGCUCGCGCUCGCCUUCAGGGACCUCUGCGACGGCGUCGCGGAGGCCAUGGUGGAGAUCGUGGUGCGGCGGUCGGCCAGCUCCGGGCGUCCACGCUCGUCGUCGGCCUCCACGACAAGAGCUUCCUCUACGGGUCUGAAUUUGCGUGUGUUCUCGUGACUGACGGUCAGGUCGCCGGGCCCGUACGAGGGAGUGAGCGGGCUGGGGUGCCGGGUGCUGGCCGUCCGGCAGCACGCGACGGCGCGGCACGGGGCCGUGGAGGCGGAGCUCACCCAGGUGGAGACCAUACGACUGCACGUGCCGCCGCCCAAGAUCCCGUUCCCGAUCUUCGCGCUGCCGCUGGGCGUCAUCUGGAGGCGAUCGUCGUCGUCAAAGAAGAGGAGAUGA
RNAcentral lists this ribosomal RNA (556 nucleotides) under Triticum aestivum (bread wheat). Its description in RNAcentral is "partial small subunit ribosomal RNA". Lineage: Eukaryota; Viridiplantae; Streptophyta; Magnoliopsida; Poales; Poaceae. The record is from RNAcentral.